UGAUAUGUUUGAUAUUAGGUUGUUUUUUGGUUUAAAGCAACUAAAUAUUAGACAUAUUCCU
This 61-nucleotide microRNA precursor is filed under the name Callorhinchus milii (elephant shark). Its description in RNAcentral is "Cmi-Mir-190-P3_pre stem-loop". It matches the Rfam family "mir-190 microRNA precursor family", at positions 10 to 69 of the family's 78-position model. Lineage: Eukaryota; Metazoa; Chordata; Chondrichthyes; Chimaeriformes; Callorhinchidae. The record is from RNAcentral.